UACAGAGGGUGCGAGCGUUAAUCGGAAUUACUGGGCGUAAAGCGUGCGUAGACGGUUAUUUAAGUCGGGUGUGAAAUCUCCGGGCUUAACUCGGAAAGGUCAACUGAUACUGUGCGACUAGAGUGCAGAAGGGGCAACUGGAAUUCUCGGUGUAGCGGUGAAAUGCGUAGAUAUCGAGAGGAACACCUGCGGCGAAGGCGGGUUGCUGGGCUGACACUGACGCUGAUGCGCGAAAGCCAGGGGAGCGAACGGG
RNAcentral lists this ribosomal RNA (253 nucleotides) under uncultured bacterium. RNAcentral's name for it is "partial 16S ribosomal RNA". It matches the Rfam family "Bacterial small subunit ribosomal RNA", at positions 524 to 776 of the family's 1533-position model. The record is from RNAcentral.